RNAcentral lists this small RNA (331 nucleotides) under Histoplasma capsulatum. Its description in RNAcentral is "hypothetical RNA". Lineage: Eukaryota; Fungi; Ascomycota; Eurotiomycetes; Onygenales; Ajellomycetaceae. The record is from RNAcentral. RNAcentral also lists the same sequence under 1 other name.
GUGGAAGUUCAGUUGAUGCAGCCUUCCCUGUCCAGUGACAGCACUGACGCCGGUGAGGUGGUGCCAGGUCUAGAUGUGGACGAGGAUAGUGUUCUUGUUGCAGAAGUCGUGGAGGGGAAACUUGCUAGUUCCCUUGCUUCUGUUAUCGUACGGAAUGUUCGUGAUGAAUGGGCCGAUAUAACGGAUAUCGAUUCUGUUUCUGAUACGCAAUCCGCCAGGCCUAUUCUCUCAUUGGUCUAUAGUCCAAUUACCCUCGCUCCACGCCAGUCGCGCCCAGUAGCUUUUGAGAUCGAUUUCCACGGCCAAAUCCCCUCAAACUUCUCCUUCCAAC